GACGGGACAAAAUGACACAUUUUGUAUGGAUUAUACAGGAAAAAACAACAUUUUGUGAUUAGAAACUAAACAAAAUGAUAGAAUUGUUAAAUACUUCAGGAAAAGAUAGCUUUCAGACACUGCUUUGAGAAUAUCAAAAGAAAAGAUAGGGUCACCGUACGUUUUUUCCGUCUAAAAUACAAAAUAGGAAAAUUCCAUACAGAAUCCUUCAGAAAAUGCACUUUUUCAGAGUUACCUCCCCUUAAAAUGCCAAUUUAAAAAAAAAAAAUGAAAACAACCAAAAAUAAUUAACAUUUGCAAAAAUAUCAAUAUUUAGAAGUUAUAUUCUUAUAAAUUGGUACUUUUAAAUGAAAAUGUACAUUAAACAUCUGCAUUCCUGCAUCAAAUUUUGCUAACUUGAUGGAAAAUCUGGACCUUUGAUUCUCUGUUUUUUACAAUCCAAGAUGGAGGAAGACACCCAUACCACCUUAAA
RNAcentral lists this long non-coding RNA (472 nucleotides) under Mytilus galloprovincialis (Mediterranean mussel). Lineage: Eukaryota; Metazoa; Mollusca; Bivalvia; Mytilida; Mytilidae. The record is from RNAcentral.